This 73-nucleotide transfer RNA is filed under the name Myxococcales bacterium. RNAcentral's name for it is "tRNA-Thr". It matches the Rfam family "tRNA". From Rfam's summary of the family: Transfer RNA (tRNA) molecules are approximately 80 nucleotides in length. Their secondary structure includes four short double-helical elements and three loops (D, anti-codon, and T loops). Lineage: Bacteria; Pseudomonadati; Myxococcota; Myxococcia; Myxococcales. The record is from RNAcentral.
GCUGGCGUAGCUCAAUUGGUAGAGCACCGGUUUUGUAAACCGGCGGUUGCGGGUUCGAGUCCCUUCGCCAGCU